Molecule: ribosomal RNA, 497 nt
Filed under: uncultured bacterium
Lineage: Bacteria
Description: partial 16S ribosomal RNA
Rfam family: Bacterial small subunit ribosomal RNA
Source: RNAcentral
GAUGAACGCUGGCGGCGUGCCUAAUACAUGCAAGUCGAGCGAACAGACGAGGAGCUUGCUCCUCUGACGUUAGCGGCGGACGGGUGAGUAACACGUGGAUAACCUACCUAUAAGACUGGGAUAACUUCGGGAAACCGGAGCUAAUACCGGAUAAUAUAUUGAACCGCAUGGUUCAAUAGUGAAAGACGGUUUUGCUGUCACUUAUAGAUGGAUCCGCGCCGCAUUAGCUAGUUGGUAAGGUAACGGCUUACCAAGGCGACGAUGCGUAGCCGACCUGAGAGGGUGAUCGGCCACACUGGAACUGAGACACGGUCCAGACUCCUACGGGAGGCAGCAGUAGGGAUUCUUCCGCAAUGGGCGAAAGCCUGACGGAGCAACGCCGCGUGAGUGAUGAAGGUCUUCGGAUCGUAAAACUCUGUUAUUAGGGAAGAACAAAUGUGUAAGUAACUAUGCACGUCUUGACGGUACCUAAUCAGAAAGCCACGGCUAACUACGUG